This 253-nucleotide ribosomal RNA is filed under the name uncultured bacterium. Its description in RNAcentral is "partial 16S ribosomal RNA". It matches the Rfam family "Bacterial small subunit ribosomal RNA", at positions 524 to 776 of the family's 1533-position model. The record is from RNAcentral.
AACGUAGGGGGCUAGCGUUGCCCGGAAUCACUGGGCGUAAAGCGGGUGUAGGCGGUUCUUUAAGUCGGAUGUGAAAUCCAGCGGCCCAACCGCUGAAUUGCAUCCGAUACUGGGGAACUUGAGGACGGUAGAGGUCGGUGGAAUAUCCGGUGUACCGGUGAAAUGGACAGAUAUCGGAUGGAACACCAGUGGCGAAGGCGGCCGACUGGGCCGAUCCUGACGCUGAGACCCGAAAGCUAGGGUAGCGAACCGG